This 253-nucleotide ribosomal RNA is filed under the name uncultured bacterium. Its description in RNAcentral is "partial 16S ribosomal RNA". It matches the Rfam family "Bacterial small subunit ribosomal RNA", at positions 524 to 776 of the family's 1533-position model. The record is from RNAcentral.
UACGUAGGGUGCGAGCGUUGUCCGGAAUUAUUGGGCGUAAAGAGCUCGUAGGCGGUUUGUCACGUCUGCUGUGAAAACUGGAGGCUCAACCUCCAGCCUGCAGUGGGUACGGGCAGACUAGAGUGCGGUAGGGGAGAUUGGAAUUCCUGGUGUAGCGGUGGAAUGCGCAGAUAUCAGGAGGAACACUGAUGGCGAAGGCAGAUCUCUGGGCCGUAACUGACGCUGAGGAGCGAAAGCAUGGGGAGCGAACAGG